GUUGCGGGCAUUGCCUGAGUGUGUGACUUCUCUCUGUGCUUGCAGGUUUUGCGGGAAGUUGUGGAGAGAAGCAGCUGAGUGCUGAGAAGAGCCUGAGCAGGUCUGCUGUGGGCCUUUCCCAGGCGUGGCUGAGACUUUCAGGCGCCACGGGCUUCCCCCCAGGCAGGAUGUUGGCGUUUGGAGUUGUUGCGGUGCAGAUGAUGAAGGCAAAUGUGGUGAGCAAAAGAAGAUCAGAGGGUGUGGCUGCUGCAGAGGAUGUGUCUGCUGUUGAGGAUGCCUCUUGAGGAGCAACAGUGAUGCAGAGCACUGCAAAAGUGAAGUGCAUGGGCAAAGGGUGUUGCAGGGUGUGUGUGUGUGUGUGUUGGUGUGUGUGAGGCAGAGGCAGUGGGGUGUGCAUGGCAGAAAGUGAGGGUGGGUGUCAGGCAGGGCAGCUCCAGCCUGUGUCUGUGUUGUUGUGUAGUGUAUGUGGUGUGUGUUGUAGCUGUGCUAUCUUUUGCUCAGGUCUUGAUGUUGCCCUUGCUCUUUGUGCUCAAGGAGCACAGCAUAUGCUUUGUAGUGCUAGUGCAACAGGCAUCUGCUGUCUUUUGUCUGGUCUUGACCGACUCAUCUGUGUUGCUCCAAUGAUCAUCUUGUUCUGUGCAGGCAGCUGAAAGCAGCAGUCUGUCACUGUGAUUCUGCAUUGUUUCUGGCCAAUCAUCUUGGCAGCCAUCAUUCAGGUCUUGUUGGUCGUGUGUUUUCUGAGGCCUCUCUUAUUUUGCAUCCUCCUGGUGCCCUUUCAGGGUUUUCUUCCCUGUGUCAUCAGAGCCUCGGGUCUUUCUUGCCGGCCUCUUCUGCAUGGCCGUUCCUCGC
This is a long non-coding RNA of Dromaius novaehollandiae (emu), 849 nucleotides long. RefSeq lists it as uncharacterized. Lineage: Eukaryota; Metazoa; Chordata; Aves; Casuariiformes; Dromaiidae. The transcript is spliced from 4 exons. The record is from RefSeq and is a predicted model, not a curated record.